Molecule: ribosomal RNA, 305 nt
Filed under: uncultured bacterium
Lineage: Bacteria
Description: bacterial SSU rRNA
Rfam family: Bacterial small subunit ribosomal RNA
Source: RNAcentral
UUGCCUACGGGGCGCAGCAGUGAGGAAUAUUGGUCAAUAGGCGCGAGCCUGAACCAGCCAAGUCGCGUGAGGGAAGACGGUCCUAUGGAUUGUAAGCCUCUUUUGUCGGGGAGCAAAAGACGCCACGCGUGGCGUUCCGAGAGUACCCGAAGAAAAAGCAUCGGCUAACUCCGUGCCAGCAGCCGCGGUAAUACGGAGGAUGCGAGCGUUAUCCGGAUUUAUUGGGUUUAAAGGGUGCGCAGGCGGAAGAUCAAGUCAGCGGUAAAAUGUCGGGGCUCAACCCCGGCCGGCCGUUGAAACUGGUU